This is a long non-coding RNA of Lytechinus pictus (painted urchin), 306 nucleotides long. RefSeq lists it as uncharacterized. The record is from RefSeq and is a predicted model, not a curated record. NCBI's taxonomy places the organism in Eukaryota, Metazoa, Echinodermata, Echinoidea, Temnopleuroida, Toxopneustidae. The transcript has 4 exons.
GGCCAUCGCAUUGCGCUGUACUGGCACAGUGACAAAUAUUGGUUAAAUCUAGCAUUUCUAGACAGAGACAUCACCCAGUUACAAUUAUGACACAGUCUGUAGUAAUUCAAGUUGGACAAUGUGGAAAUCAGAUUGGAUGUCGUUUCUGGGAUCUUGCUCUCAGGGAACAUGCUACCUACAACAAGAAGGGCAUCUUUGAUGAAUCCCUCAGCAGUUUCUUCCGGAAUGUUGAUGCCAGAUACAGCAACCCUCUUGAUCUUGGAAUCGGCGAUGGGAAACAAAAGAUCACAAGCCUCAAAGCAAGGG